GGGUCAGUAGGUUGGUCGUGCCACCGGUACGUACUGGUCUCACUGAUUCCUCCUUCCUGAAGAACUGUAAUGCCAUUAAUUUGGUGUUGCGGGGAAACAGGACUGUUACUUUGAAAAAAUUAGAGUGUUUAAAGCAAGCUAACGCUUGAAUACAUUAGCAUGGAAUAAUGAAAUAGGACGAUCGAUCCUAUUUUGUUGGUUUCUAGGAUUGACGUAAUGAUUAAUAGGGAUAGGGGGG
Molecule: ribosomal RNA, 238 nt
Filed under: Glomeromycotina sp.
Lineage: Eukaryota; Fungi; Glomeromycota
Description: partial small subunit ribosomal RNA
Rfam family: Eukaryotic small subunit ribosomal RNA (bases 40-238)
Source: RNAcentral